This 492-nucleotide ribosomal RNA is filed under the name uncultured bacterium. RNAcentral describes it as "partial 16S ribosomal RNA". It matches the Rfam family "Bacterial small subunit ribosomal RNA", at positions 29 to 507 of the family's 1533-position model. The record is from RNAcentral.
AGUGAACGCUGGCGGUAGGCCUAACACAUGCAAGUCGAACGGCAGCACAGUAAGAGCUUGCUCUUACGGGUGGCGAGUGGCGGACGGGUGAGGAAUACAUCGGAAUCUACUUUUUCGUGGGGGAUAACGUAGGGAAACUUACGCUAAUACCGCAUACGACCUACGGGUGAAAGCAGGGGAUCUUCGGACCUUGCGCGAUUGAAUGAGCCGAUGUCGGAUUAGCUAGUUGGCGGGGUAAAGGCCCACCAAGGCGACGAUCCGUAGCUGGUCUGAGAGGAUGAUCGGCCACAUUGGAACUGAGACACGGUCCAGACUCCUACGGGAGGCAGCAGUGGGGAAUAUUGGACAGUGGGCGCAAGCCUUAUCCAGCCAUACGGCGUGGGUGAAGACGGCCUUCGGGUUGUAAAGCCCUUUUGUUGGGAAAGAAAAGCAGCAGGUUAAUACCCCGCUGUUCUGACGGUACCCAAAGAAUAAGCACCGGCUAACUUCGUG